UACGUAGGGGGCUAGCGUUGUCCGGAAUCAUUGGGCGUAAAGAGCGUGUAGGCGGCCCGGUAAGUCCGCUGUAAAAGUCAAAGGCUCAACCUUUGAAUGUCAGUGGAUACUGCCGGGCUAGAGUCCGGAAGAGGCGAGUGGAACUCCUGGUGUAGCGGUGGAAUGCGCAGAUAUCAGGAAGAACACCAACGGCGAAGGCAGCUCGCUAGGACGGUACUGACGCUGAGACGCGAAAGCGUGGGGAGCGAACGGG
Molecule: ribosomal RNA, 253 nt
Filed under: uncultured bacterium
Lineage: Bacteria
Description: partial 16S ribosomal RNA
Rfam family: Bacterial small subunit ribosomal RNA
Source: RNAcentral